Molecule: long non-coding RNA, 644 nt
Organism: Heterocephalus glaber (naked mole-rat)
Lineage: Eukaryota; Metazoa; Chordata; Mammalia; Rodentia; Bathyergidae
Source: RefSeq, a predicted model, not a curated record
GGAGACUCCAGACACCUAGAGAAAGAACAGAAAGUCCAACGGUUUAUGAGGCUUCGAAGCUCAGAAGCAAAGAUCCUCCUUGUGAAUCUCCUGAGUUGGGUCUGAGGUCAUUCCACAGCUGAGCCGGCAGACACCUGGGGUCCCACUAGGCAGAGGAGGAGCCUGAGCUGCUGCUGGCAGAGUGCCUUGCUGGACACCUCACAGUAGGAGUCCUGGGUCACCGGGAGGCAGCAGUGUAACAGAAACGUGCUCAACUGGUGGAGUUGUUACCAUCUAGCUAUGUGAUGAAUGUGCAACUCAGGUAGCCUUUUCCCAAGUGACGGCCAAGAUAAGCACCUGUAAGCCAAGCCACCAUGCCGGCUGUCCACCAGCUUGGUUACUCAAAAUGAGAGCCAUUCACUUCUUUCCCAAGAGAAUCAUUGAAAGUUUCAAGGGUGAUACUCGGCAGCCCAGCAUGGAUCAUGACUGUGACCUUGAGUGGCCAGACCUUGAGCCCUUGGACUGAGAUUGGUGGAGAAGUGAUUCCCUAAGAAAAAUGGAGUUCUUUCUUUUGAAGAGGAGAGCAGAGCUGGGCAUAGUGGUGCACACCUAUAAUCCCAGCACUCUGGAAAGCUAAGGUAAAAGGAUUAUAAGUUUGCGCUUAG